RNAcentral lists this unclassified non-coding RNA (406 nucleotides) under soil metagenome. Its description in RNAcentral is "partial contains 5.8S ribosomal RNA, internal transcribed spacer 2, and large subunit ribosomal RNA". The stretch from base 1 to 121 matches the Rfam family "5.8S ribosomal RNA", at positions 35 to 154 of the family's 154-position model. The record is from RNAcentral.
GAUGAAGAACGUAGCGAAAUGCGAUAAGUAAUGUGACUUGCAGAAUUCAGUGAAUCAUCGAAUCUUUGAACGCACCUUGCGCCCUUUGGCCAUUCCGAAGGGCAUGCCUGUUUGAGUAUCAUGAACACCUCAACUCUUCAUGGUUUUCCGUGAUGAGCUUGGACUUUGGGGGUCUUGCUGGCCUAUGGUCAGCUCCUCUAAAAUAAAUCAGCUUGCCAGUGUUUGGUGGGUAUCACAGGUGUGAUAACUAUCUACGCUUGUGGUUUUCCACCAGGUAACCUUCAGCAGUGGAGGUUCGCUGGAGCUCACAGAUGUGUCUCUCCUCAGUGAGGACAGCUCUUUGAAUGUUUGAUCUCAAAUCAGGUAGGACUACCCGCUGAACUUAAGCAUAUCAAUAAGCGGAGGA